GGAUACUCGAGUGGAAUAGCAUAUGAUGCGGACCUCUUUCUAAGCAAGAGUGUUGACUAGAGAACACUGGUAAAAGAUAACCAGUUCUGGUAUUUUGCUGGGACACACUCCUACUGCCAUAGUGGAAGUUAAGAUACUGAGAUCUCUGUAUGAAUUAUUUAAAGCCACUGCCCUGAGCUUCCUGAGACCUACCACAGGCAUUGAACUCUGCACCUCUCCUGGGGCCUCUCCCUCAUUCACCUUCUCCAGGAUCCAGCAACCAAAGGAGCCCUAAAGGACCGGCACCAAGCUGUGACCAGUAGCCAUUCUCUCCUGUUGCGGAGCAGCUCCAUUGCUCAAAGCCCUGGUGAUGGGCAGAAUGAUGGUUCCCCAAAGAUGUCCACGUCCAAAUCCCCAGAACCUCGGAAGAGGGAAGCAGAAGACUGAGAUUUGCCGAGAGGACCUGACCCUCCACUACUGGCUUUGAAAAUGCGGGAAGGGGCCACCAAGCCCCUAGCAAGGAACAGGGGACCUCAGUUGUGCAACUACGUGGAACUGAAUUCCGCUGGCAAAUCCAGCCGAAGAGUACGUGGCAUGUGGUAGGCCCUCAGGAGUGAAGAAGGGAAGGAGAGAGAGAGGAAGAAGUGUGGAAAGUGUCAAUGGCAAAACAGACUCUCCCACUUAGCGAUAUACCUACAUGACCUACAGAGGGAGGAGCAAGAAAUCUGGAAUCAACUGGAUGCACAUUCAGAUGUCUGCUUUGUCCAUGUACUUGCCAUAUGACCUUGGGCCAUGAUGUCACAGAGGCUCUGUGAGCUUCCUGCUUCCUUAGCUAUAAGGGGCAGAUGAUGACUACCACCUUGCCAGAGUGCUGCAGGGAUUAGCAAUGUCAGUGGGGCUGGC
Long non-coding RNA from Ailuropoda melanoleuca (giant panda), 882 nucleotides. RefSeq lists it as uncharacterized. The transcript is spliced from 6 exons. The record is from RefSeq and is a predicted model, not a curated record. NCBI's taxonomy places the organism in Eukaryota, Metazoa, Chordata, Mammalia, Carnivora, Ursidae.